AUUGAACGCUGGCGGCAGGCCUAACACAUGCAAGUCGAGCGGAUGAAGGGAGCUUGCUCCUGGAUUCAGCGGCGGACGGGUGAGUAAUGCCUAGGAAUCUGCCUGGUAGUGGGGGAUAACGUCUGGAAACGGGCGCUAAUACUGCAUACGUCGUGAGGGAGCAAGUGGGGGAUCUUCGGACCUCACGCUAUCAGAUGAGCCUAGGUCGGAUUAGCUAGUUGGUGGGGUAAAGGCCUACUAAGGAGACGAUCCGUAACUGGUCUGAGAGGAUGAUCAGUCACACGGGAACUGAGACACGGUCCAGACUCCUAAGGGAGGCAGCAGUGGGGAAUGUUGGACAGUGGGCGAAAGCCUGAUCCAGCCAUGCCGCGUGUGUGAAGAAGGUCUUCGGAUUGUAAAGCACUUUAAGUUGGGAGGAAGGGCAGUAAGUUAAUACCUUGCUGUUUUGACGUUACCAACAGAAUAAGCACCGGCUAACUUCGUG
RNAcentral lists this ribosomal RNA (484 nucleotides) under uncultured bacterium. Its description in RNAcentral is "partial 16S ribosomal RNA". It matches the Rfam family "Bacterial small subunit ribosomal RNA", at positions 30 to 507 of the family's 1533-position model. The record is from RNAcentral.